This is a non-coding RNA of Nothobranchius furzeri (turquoise killifish), 1438 nucleotides long. Lineage: Eukaryota; Metazoa; Chordata; Actinopteri; Cyprinodontiformes; Nothobranchiidae. The record is from RefSeq and is a predicted model, not a curated record.
GAGGUUUUGUUAAAACCAAAUUUCUGCAGCUGUAAGUUCAGUUGUUGAACCCACCAGAGGACGAGGGACGGCCGCCCAAGUCUCUACUAAGCAUUCUGUCACGCCGAUAGAAUUGCUUCGAAUAAACGCACCUGUAUCCAGUUGACGUAAAAACUCCUUCAGAGAUAAGCCAGACGCAAGCUCAAUACUGUGUACCCUGCGACAACUCUGGACCAGAGAGUCGGUUCCACUCGGGUCUUCUCUACCGGACCGAGUACCCUGAGGCUGACAACAUCCUCCUUUGACCUCCGGAUCCACCAGGGCCGGCUUUGUCGACAGGCGACACAGGCGGCCGCCUGGGGCGCCAUCUGAUGGAUAGGGCGCAAAAUAAAAAAAAAAUAAAAAAUAGUUCAUUAAAUUCAUGUUUGUAAUAUGAAAUGCGCUCUCUACAUACUCAAAAUUCCCCUUUGAAAUGACAUGAAAUUAAAACAUCAAUAUUUAAAUUCUAAUAAUCUGGCAGCAUUUCGAGCUCCCGCUUGAGCCACCGCUCCGAUGCAUUUGACCGUUAAGGGUGCCAUAGAUCACGUGUGUGGGUAGCACAGAAGGACAUCCUGUUGUCGUUGCGUUUAAGCGUUUGAUAUUUUACGAUGAAAACAACACCUAAGCCAUCGGGAUCAGCAUUCCGAAAGCGAAGGAAGGAAGAAGAAUAAAAACGGGCCCAAAGCAGAGCGUCUUCAUCCAGGCAUCACGCAGCAGCAGCACAUUUACUGAGCUACAGUCUCAGCAUCUAGAACCAGAAGAAGAACCCAACACCAGCAGACUCAGUGCUCCACUCCAACAGCCUGAAGAGACACCAUCAUCAGCUUCAACAGAUGUGUGUGAACAUGUAGGAGCUGCUGGCCCCAUGGAUCCUGCUGACUGGCCACAGCAGUAGAACAAAAUGGAAAGUAGAACUUUCUUUAUGAUGACACUUUGAUGUUUGAGUUUUGCUUUUGAUUGCACAGUUUAAUGCUGCUUUUGAUUUUGCACCCCCCCCCCCCAUGACAUUUGCUCAACAUUUUGAGUUGUUGGUUAUUGUAAUAUUCUCAGGUUACUUAUCUUUCAAGCUUACAUUUAUUCUUCAGGCUGUUGACUUUAAAGAGUUGCUGUGUGAAUAUUUAAAAUAAAAAUUUAGUAACUAAGGAAUCACUGUGGAGCUGCUUUUUCCAAUGUGUGGACUUGGGUUUGGGUGAGAGGCGGGGGUGGGGGGUGGGGGUGGGGGGCGCAAAUGGGCACUCUCGCCUUGGGCACCAAAUUACCCAGAGCCGGCCCUGGGAUCCACACAGAGGGUGGUCUGAGGGGUGAGGUAGCACACAGAUUAUGUCAGAUGCUGUUCUCUCUAAGAAACAACUGGGUUAGCUGCCAAACAACGUUUCCCACCCAGAACGCACUUCUCUCUCUGAAAGAAACCUGCUGAGAU